AUUGAACGCUGGCGGCAGGCUUAACACAUGCAAGUCGAGCGGGGUGAUGGUGCUUGCACUAUCACUUAGCGGCGGACGGGUGAGUAAUGCUUAGGAAUCUGCCUAUUAGUGGGGGACAACAUCUCGAAAGGGAUGCUAAUACCGCAUACGUCCUACGGGGGAAAGCAGGGGAUCACUUGUGACCUUGCGCUAAUAGAUGAGCCUAAGUCGGAUUAGCUAGUUGGUGGGGUAAAGGCCUAUCAAGGCGACGAUCUGUAGCGGGUCUGAGAGGAUGAGCCACGACACUGGGACUGAGACACGGCCCGGACUCCUACGGGAGGCAGCAGUGGGGGAUAUUGGACGAUGGGGGGGAGCCUGAGCCAGCCAUGCCGCGUGUGUGAAGAAGGCCUUAUGGUUGUAAAGCACUUUAAGCGAGGAGGAGGCUCUUUUGGUUAAUACCCAGAAUGAGUGGACGUUACUCGCAGAAUAAGCACCGGCUAACUCUGUGCCAGCAGCCGCCGUAA
This 503-nucleotide ribosomal RNA is filed under the name uncultured bacterium. RNAcentral describes it as "partial 16S ribosomal RNA". It matches the Rfam family "Bacterial small subunit ribosomal RNA", at positions 30 to 523 of the family's 1533-position model. The record is from RNAcentral.